This 496-nucleotide ribosomal RNA is filed under the name uncultured bacterium. RNAcentral's name for it is "partial 16S ribosomal RNA". It matches the Rfam family "Bacterial small subunit ribosomal RNA", at positions 28 to 506 of the family's 1533-position model. The record is from RNAcentral.
GAUGAACGCUGGCGGCGUGCCUAAUACAUGCAAGUCGAGCGAACAGACGAGGAGCUUGCUCCUCUGACGUUAGCGGCGGACGGGUGAGUAACACGUGGAUAACCUACCUAUAAGACUGGGAUAACUUCGGGAAACCGGAGCUAAUACCGGAUAAUAUAUUGAACCGCAUGGUUCAAUAGUGAAAGACGGUUUUGCUGUCACUUAUAGAUGGAUCCGCGCCGCAUUAGCUAGUUGGUAAGGUAACGGCUUACCAAGGCAACGAUGCGUAGCCGACCUGAGAGGGGGAUCGGCCACACUGGAACUGAGACACGGUCCAAACCCCUACGGGAGGCAGCAGUAGGAAAUCUUCCGCAAUGGGCGAAAGCCUAACGGAGCAACGCCGCGUGGGUGAUGAAGGUCUUCGGAUCGUAAAACUCUUUUAUUAGGGAAGAAAAAAUGUGUAAGUAACUAUGCACGUUUUGACGGUACCAAAUCAGAAAGCCACGGCAAACUACGU